AGAGUUUGAUUAUGGCUCAGAUUGAACGCUGGCGGCAGGCUUAACACAUGCAAGUCGAGCGGAGAGAGGUAGCUUGCUACUGAUCUUAGCGGCGGACGGGUGAGUAAUGCUUAGGAAUCUGCCUAUUAGUGGGGGACAACAUUUCGAAAGGAAUGCUAAUACCGCAUACGUCCUACGGGAGAAAGCAGGGGAUCUUCGGACCUUGCGCUAAUAGAUGAGCCUAAGUCGGAUUAGCUAGUUGGUGGGGUAAAGGCCUACCAAGGCGACGAUCUGUAGCGGGUCUGAGAGGAUGAUCCGCCACACUGGGACUGAGACACGGCCCAGACUCCUACGGGAGGCAGCAGUGGGGAAUAUUGGACAAUGGGCGCAAGCCUGAUCCAGCCAUGCCGCGUGUGUGAAGAAGGCCUUAUGGUUGUAAAGCACUUUAAGCGAGGAGGAGGCUACUUUAGUUAAUACCUAGAGAUAGUGGACGUUACUCGCAGAAUAAGCACCGGCUAACUCUGUGCCAGCAGCCGCGGUAAUACAGAGGGUGCAAGCGUUAAUCGGAUUUACUGGGCGUAAAGCGCGCGUAGGCGGCUAAUUAAGUCAAAUGUGAAAUCCCCGAGCUUAACUUGGGAAUUGCAUUCGAUACUGGUUAGCUAGAGUGUGGGAGAGGAUGGUAGAAUUCCAGGUGUAGCGGUGAAAUGCGUAGAGAUCUGGAGGAAUACCGAUGGCGAAGGCAGCCAUCUGGCCUAACACUGACGCUGAGGUGCGAAAGCAUGGGGAGCAAACAGGAUUAGAUACCCUGGUAGUCCAUGCCGUAAACGAUGUCUACUAGCCGUUGGGGCCUUUGAGGCUUUAGUGGCGCAGCUAACGCGAUAAGUAGACCGCCUGGGGAGUACGGUCGCAAGACUAAAACUCAAAUGAAUUGACGGGGGCCCGCACAAGCGGUGGAGCAUGUGGUUUAAUUCGAUGCAACGCGAAGAACCUUACCUGGCCUUGACAUAGUAAGAACUUUCCAGAGAUGGAUUGGUGCCUUCGGGAACUUACAUACAGGUGCUGCAUGGCUGUCGUCAGCUCGUGUCGUGAGAUGUUGGGUUAAGUCCCGCAACGAGCGCAACCCUUUUCCUUAUUUGCCAGCGAGUAAUGUCGGGAACUUUAAGGAUACUGCCAGUGACAAACUGGAGGAAGGCGGGGACGACGUCAAGUCAUCAUGGCCCUUACGGCCAGGGCUACACACGUGCUACAAUGGUCGGUACAAAGGGUUGCUACCUAGCGAUAGGAUGCUAAUCUCAAAAAGCCGAUCGUAGUCCGGAUUGGAGUCUGCAACUCGACUCCAUGAAGUCGGAAUCGCUAGUAAUCGCGGAUCAGAAUGCCGCGGUGAAUACGUUCCCGGGCCUUGUACACACCGCCCGUCACACCAUGGGAGUUUGUUGCACCAGGAGUAGCUAGCCUAACUGCAAAGAGGGCGGUUACCACGGUGUGGCCGAUGACUGGGGUGAAGUCGUAACAAGGUAACCCU
RNAcentral lists this ribosomal RNA (1501 nucleotides) under Acinetobacter sp. SNT33. Its description in RNAcentral is "bacterial SSU rRNA". It matches the Rfam family "Bacterial small subunit ribosomal RNA". The record is from RNAcentral. Lineage: Bacteria; Pseudomonadati; Pseudomonadota; Gammaproteobacteria; Moraxellales; Moraxellaceae.